Oncorhynchus tshawytscha (Chinook salmon) is the source of this 3310-nucleotide long non-coding RNA. NCBI's taxonomy places the organism in Eukaryota, Metazoa, Chordata, Actinopteri, Salmoniformes, Salmonidae. The record is from Ensembl.
AGCAACUUUCAAUAAUGGCAGAUUCAGACUAAAAUCUGUGGCCAAUGACAGAGCAGCAUAAUAAUUUAGUUUGAGGCUUCAGGCUAGUAUUGAGGGGUUGAGAUGACCUAAAUAGUUUAUUGUCUCAGAUCAAAGUUGACUCCAAAGUAGGCUCUGCUGUCAUGACAACCAUAAAAGGAACUAUAUGGUAAGACCUUUGAACCCUAGCUCAUUGUUGUAGUAUUGGCUUUACAGAAUUGUCUGCCAGUGCAGUAAUAUAAUGUAUCUUGGUAUUUUAACUUAUUUCAAUGCAAGAUUAAAAACCUAGAUAACAUUGUAAUUCUUGGGGCCUUCCAAGUGGCACUGCAUCGCAGCGUUGCGGUGUCAUUGCGGCCUGGGGUUCAAUCCCAUGACCGGGAGUCCCAUGGGGCGUUGCAAAAUUGAUCGGUUGGGAUUUACUCGGCUCAUUGCGCUCUAGCGACUCCUUGUGGCAGGAGAAGCUGUAGGCUGAUAUCGGUUGUCAGUUGAACAGUGUUUCCUCCGACACAUUGAUGCAGCUGGCUUCUGGGAUAAGUGAGUGGGUGUUAAGAAGCGUGGCUUGGCUAGUCAUGUUUCGGAGGACUCAACCUUCUCCUCUCCUGAGCCCGUUGGGGAGUUGCAGAAAUGAGACAAGAUGGUAAUCAUGAAAUUGGGGAGGAAAAAUAGGUUAAAAAAUAUUUUAAGUCUUUGCAGUGUGCCCUUAGCCAUGUUCUAGACUUUUCAAGAGUUUUUAUCUACAGAGUUCAAGAGAUAUUAGUGGUCAGGUCACAUGGACAGGCAAAACCUACUAGCCUUACCAAUGAUGGUCACGUGGUCAGGUAAAACAUCCCUAGCAAUGAUGUAGCAUUGUUCAGUUCUAGAGGUUUUAUUUAGAGAGUUCAGGUCACUUGGUUAAGAAAAGCUGUCUCUCACAACAAUGUAAUGUAACGUUGAAUGCAGAAAAAUGCACUACAGUCUCUGAUUUGUUAUGAAAAAAAAGCUCUGGAAUGUAUUGAGUCAGGCUUUACCAGCUGACCCUGGAAAUCAGCUGAUUAGGUCAUAGUAUGUGAACCUACACCUUCAGAAUACGUCAUAUUCCAUCCCAAAUCUACAGACUAAAGGGGCUUUCUAGCUUAUACAAUGGAUACUACUGUACCAACAGCAUUGUUCUAGUAAUUUACAGUCAUGAACCUACUGUACAGUAGGAUGUUAGAAAUAUGCAUGCUUACACAGCUCAUUUUACAGUGUUGGUAGAAUCAUUAGUCAGAUAAUUUGUACUUCCUCAAGAAUGGCUGGGGUUGUAGAGGGUAGAGUAAUCUGAUCCUAGAUCUGUGGUUACGGCCAAAUUCUACCUUGCAGCUUAAAUAUGCAGUAUUUAGCUCUGCCUUUAUCUUACUUUGAGACCUUUCUGCUUCCUUUCUGUGUCUAUGAGAGACACAGACUGUAUUUCUUGUCCAAAGUCACUCUGCUGAUGGCCUUUCGAUUUAGUAAAUUAUUGACACAAAUUAUUGACAUGGGGAGAUUACUUCACAGCCCAAAAACAGAACUUUACACAGGCUUCUGAAUGAGGUAGAGUACAAUAAUCUUUGGCUCCUGAGGAAUUUAACUGACCAUCACCAGACAAUUAGCUAGAGGAGUGGCAAUGUGGCACGAUAGCAUUUGAUUAUGCAACACUCUGCAACUGUUGAUCGAGCAAACUGUCUGAUUUACAGGGUGGAGUUCCUUUUUGUCAGAUUGACGGCUGGAUAUGAAAGUUUACUUUACCUAAACAUAAAAUCAAGCUGAAUAGGAAUGCUGCACAAAUAUGUGAUCAACAUUUAUCUAUUCAUUAGAAAUGUUCAUGACAGUAUUAAAACCCCUUGAAAUGCACCAUCUCAUAUUCAAGGAUUUAAAAAUGAUUUUUUAUGAAAUUUCAGCUUGCCCUUGGUAGGCGUAAAGAAACAACAUUUGUUUGUUUUACCUUCACAAGGACAAGUAACUGUAACUGUCACUUUUCCUCGGUAAAGCAGAAAAAAAGAGCUCUCUGUUUGAAUUUCGGAUGUGUCUGUGACACAACAGUUGCACUGUAUUGCAUUGCUUUCAUCCCUUACUGUACUGCUCAAACUAUCCGUCCUCUGCGCAGCCAUGUUUGAACUGUGAAGAGAUUGCGAAACGGAACGAGGAGCGAUAAUGGUGAACGGCCAAUAAAGUCCUCUCCCCUCCAUGGUUACGGCCCUGGCUGUAAAUGGCGACGGGGCAACACAGCUCAAAGGCUAUAUUUGUGCUCCCUGGCUGGAGAGAGAAAUGCCAGCCCAACCGUUUGCCCAUCCACUUGUUCUUUCACUCGACAACAGUGGCUAUAGUGUCUCAUAAGCGUGACACAAUCCCUCUCUCAAUAUUUGUGUGUGUGUGUGAUGCCUCCAAUAAAACAAAAUUUGACAUCUGAGCUCAGCUGAGACUGAUCCUAGACAUUUUUCUUCAAGAACUUUUUUCAUUUUUUAUAACCCACCUUUCAUUUUUCAUGACACCUGAUUUAUGCUUAGUGACAAGGUGUUAUGUGUACGUAUAUAUGUGAGGUAUUUAUUGAUGCUGAACGCAGAGUAAGAACAGUCCAUGCCCUGGCUGAAUCAAUCAAUCACGCAGAAGAACUGAUGAGCUUAAUUUUCCCAGCAGGCUGUGAGUGAUAAACCACACACACACUCCCACAUACACUUCUCUUACACGCACACCUAUCAAGAGACCAACAGGGGACUGAAACAUGUGAGUGGAAAUGUUUUUAUUUUACUUGGGAAGGUUUGAGGAGAUGGCGGAGAUUGGCUUUGCCCACUACUGUAGAAUCCAAUGGAACAGUAGGGUGAUUUUAGGGUUUUGUGCUUACAGUAUGUCUUUAUCCAUCCUAUUGCUACAUUCCAAUCUACUGUAUACAGUAUGUAGUCAUUUUUUAACCAUCAGACCGCUUCAAUAGAAGUGAUUUCCAUAAUACCAUACCCAGAUCACUUUCUGGGGCAGCAAGAAGCUAAGGCUAGGGAGUGGCAGGUAGUCUAGUGGUUAAGAGUGUUGGAGCGGUAACCAAAAGGUUGCUGGUUCAAAUCCCUGAGCCUGCAAAGUGGAAAAAUCUGUCGUUCUGCUGUUGAGCAAGGUAAUUAACUGCUCCCCAGGUGUAGAUGAUGUCGAAUAAGGCAGCCCCCUGUACCUUAGGUUAAAUGUGGAAGACACAUUUUGGUUAAAUGCAUUCAGUUGUGCAACUGACAAGGUAUCCGCUUUAGUCUAAAGACUCUUGAGCAAUGUUUUUGCAGGGAAGGCCUGUAAAUAUGCACUGUAGUUAGUAUUACCC